This 465-nucleotide ribosomal RNA is filed under the name uncultured bacterium. Its description in RNAcentral is "partial 16S ribosomal RNA". It matches the Rfam family "Bacterial small subunit ribosomal RNA", at positions 338 to 795 of the family's 1533-position model. The record is from RNAcentral.
CCUACGGGAGGCAGCAGUAGGGAAUUUUCGUCAAUGGGCGCAAGCCUGAACGAGCAAUGCCGCGUGAACGAGGAAGGUCUUCGGAUCGUAAAGUUCUGUUGAAGGGGAAAAAGAGCGGAGAGAGGAAAUGGUCUCCGAUUGAUAUUACCCUUCGAGGAAGUCACGGCUAACUACGUGCCAGCAGCCGCGGUAAUACGUAGGUGGCGAGCGUUAUCCGGAAUGAUUGGGCGUAAAGGGUGUGUAGGCGGCCUGCUAAGUCUGGAGUGAAAGGUACCGGCUCAACCGGUACAGGCUCUGGAAACUGGCGGGCUAGAGAGAAGGAGAGGGCGGUGGAACUCCAUGGGGAGCGGUAAAAUGCGUAGAUAUAUGGAAGAACACCAGUGGCGAAGGCGGCCGCCUGGCCUGUUGACUGACGCUGAGGCACGAAAGCGUGGGGAGCAAAUAGGAUUAGAUACCCCUGUAGUC